GGGGCUUUACAGGCGGGUCGCUGAGGAGGGCGGGCUGUGGGACCCCUCUGUAAGGCGGGAGGUCUGCGGAGAGAGCUCCGCUUCACACAGCCCUCUUUGCCAGCGGUUUCAAGUACACGAUGUGGCUGUUUUCAAUAAGGGCGGCUGGGUCUCCUGAGGUAGCUGUGGUAGUGUGUUGGGGCCGCUGUUACAGCUGGGGAGCUGGGGUGGGGGCCACGGGCCCAACAGAAUGAGCAAAGUUAAAAAAAAAAAAGUUAUAUGUUAAUUUACAUUUUCCCAGUAGUUAUAUAGGGACCAACAUUGCCUAGAGCCACAUCUCAGGACUGGCACAUUGAAGCCCGUGCAGGUGCUUUGGAAAGGGAAGUGGAGGGGUGCGGACAAAGGACAACUACACCUAAGGAGGAUGUGUCACUGCGAUGUAACUAUUUCACUCCUCCUGCUUCACUCUGCUCACUGCUGCCGCCUCAAGCAGUCCCAGCAAAAAGAAUCAUGGCUGAAAGGUUGCUGUCUCUGGUUACUGAUUUGCAGACCAUGAGGGAUGAUCUGGUUGGCCCAGCAGAGAGGCUUCCACUUCAGUUUGCAGGUUUGCCUGUGGAAGAAGGCUGAGGAAAAAGCAUGUGCCUGGCACAGAUUUUAGGCUUCUCCUAGGCAUCAGCCAAGCCUCAGUGAGCCUUAGGAAAGAAUCAGUGGAUUACCAUUCCUGUAUGUCCAGGUCCAAACACUGUUUUCAAAACCAAAAAUCAAAUCCUACCUGUGCCCACAGUUUGUAUUUGACUUGUAAGACCACAGCACUAUGGAGACUGUCUUCAGAUCUCCCUGAGCUCUCGACUACUGCUCUUAGCUUCUCUCAAUCACUUUGAUGAUUUCACACUGAAAAUAAAAAAAAAACCAUUUUAAUGUGUAAAAUUUUCUAGAGAGUCGGUGUUUCUGGUGUUUAAAGUAGUGGUUUUACAUCUUUUUUAGAAAAAUAAAAACAUUUUAAAACAUUUUCCAAAGCAAAUGCAAAUGCUUGUGUGGCCAAAUUACACCCACAAGCACUCUGUGGACUUGUUUGUCAUGGUUAGCUUUCACAGACCUCCUUCAGAGGUAAGCCAUAGAGCAGAAAUCUGCAAAAUAAAGGUAAAAAAUACCACCUUUCCAUAAUGAGAUUUUACUGGAGAUGGAGGGUACUCAGGGGUUCCCAUCUUAGGUCAAGCAAAACUACACUGCUGGCAAGCUACAUUCAGCACAGAAUUAUUUCUUCUCCCAUGAAUUAUUUAGAGUACAUACUGUCUUUUCAGUAUAGAUAUGCACAGAUCCAAACUAAACAGAGCUUCAGUCACUAGGGUCUCCAAGUAACACCAUGAUGCAAAUGUUAAACAGUAAUCAUAAGGCUCUAACUACAAUCGGCUUCCCAUUUGCUAGAUGCAGAUAUUCAAACCUUCUGUUCCAGUGAGCAUGCUGGGCACAAUACAACAGUACAUCACAACACAAAGCAAAUGAUGAGCUGAGAUUUGUUAGGUAUGUAAUGAAAGAGGGAAGGACACUGAAGGGAAUGAAUUUCAAGUGCAAACAAUAAAAAUAAGCUCCUUAUAUAAGUAUGUUGAAUAUAUCCUUUGCUAGCAAGACAAGAAAUGACUUAAAUGAAAAGUUAGCCAUUGCAGAACAAAACAAGCUGCAGACAGAGGAACUGUAACUUUAUAGGCAAAAUUGAAUUCAGUUCCAGGAAAAAUGUGCACCAAACAUAGCUGUCUUGACAACCCCAUUCAAAGAGCUACUCAAGAUGGGAGCUUUAUGGAGCUGUGAAUAAAAAGCCUGCUGAAAUCAUAAAAGCAUCACUCUGAAUCUAAGGUGAAAAAGCUCUAAAUUGCAGUGACAUGUCACAACCUGUCAAUUUAUUAGCAGAUGCUUCUAAAUCAGGAUUAGGAACAAAAUAUUAAAGCCUUAAAAAUGGCGUAAUUGAACUGUUCUGAAAAGGGAGAGAAAAUGUACACCAGAGGGCUGGGUUUUCUAGGACUUUUGCUAAUGAAGUUCAGAAGGAUGUAGACAAUGAAGCAGAUCACAAGCAGCUGAUGGCAAUUUUUAAAAACAGCACUUGAUUUUGGGCAUGUGGGACUAGAAAAAUGUUUGCAGUGACUUUCCAAGGAAACAUUUUAGUCAGGAGUAGCUGAGCAAAAGAACCAGGAGCUGAUUCUGUUCCACCUUCUUUUUGUUCAGAAAGUGCAAAAUGCUAUCGUUAAAUCAGAAUUUUCCUUUCCCACGGGAAUGUGUUAAUAUUUUACUUCCAAGGCCAUGCCUGAAUAUAGCUGCUGGCAACAGGCAGCCUAUGUAGUCUGAUCUAAUGUAAGGGGUCACUGCAGGCAGGAGGGUUCUCCAAGCUGGAUGCACACAGAGGCUGAGUGAGCAAGGAUGUGGUGAGACUGUACCAGUUGGCCCAUGGGCAGCAGUCACAGCUAGAGGGAGGGGAUGGUGGUAGUGACUGCCCUAAAUGCCACAUCUCUCCUCCUCAGGUGAGGUAUGAAUGUGUCUAAGCAGGCUAUCAGGUACUCUGGGGCUGGUGGCUGCUUGCCUCUCCUGUUGACACUGUUCUGCUUCGCUGAAAUGCUUCAGUCUGUGCUGGCACCCAUGUGUUUCCCCUCUCCAGCAAAUGCCCUAAGUCCUUCACUAAAGAGUUAUUCUCAUGCUCUCUGACUCAGUGACUAUUAACAUUGCAAGCAAAGUGGAACGGAUCCAAAAGGAGAGACUGAAGCAAAAAUGGCCUCAUAAGGCAAUCUCCUUGCAUUUAGGGCACACUUCUGAGGCUGUGGUUCAAUGAUACAGCAAGUCCAGUUCCGGUGCUCCUCCUGCGUGAUCAAACACAGCCCGUCUGGAUUUGUACUCCCAAGUGCUGACGCUGGAUUUGCACUAGUUCCAAAAACGUUGAUGGAUUAUCUUCAACACCCAGCUUUAUGCUGACUGAGACUGGCUGUUGUCUUGCAGCCAGCAAAGCGCCACAGAGCAAGGAUGAAGGCAGCAUAAAGAUGAGCACGAG
Long non-coding RNA from Numida meleagris (helmeted guineafowl), 3010 nucleotides. RefSeq lists it as uncharacterized. The record is from RefSeq and is a predicted model, not a curated record. Lineage: Eukaryota; Metazoa; Chordata; Aves; Galliformes; Numididae. The transcript is spliced from 2 exons.